Molecule: ribosomal RNA, 491 nt
Filed under: uncultured bacterium
Lineage: Bacteria
Description: partial 16S ribosomal RNA
Rfam family: Bacterial small subunit ribosomal RNA
Source: RNAcentral
AGUGAACGCUGGCGGUAGGCCUAACACAUGCAAGUCGAACGGCAGCACAGUAAGAGCUUGCUCUUACGGGUGGCGAGUGGCGGACGGGUGAGGAAUACAUCGGAAUCUACUUUUUCGUGGGGGAUAACGUAGGGAAACUUACGCUAAUACCGCAUACGACCUACGGGUGAAAGCAGGGGAUCUUCGGACCUUGCGCGAUUGAAUGAGCCGAUGUCGGAUUAGCUAGUUGGCGGGGUAAAGGCCCACCAAGGCGACGAUCCGUAGCUGGUCUGAGAGGAUGAUCGGCCAAACUGGAACUGAGACACGGUCCAAACCCCUAGGGGAGGCAGGAGUGGGGAAUAUUGGAAAAUGGGCGCAAGCCUGAUCCAGCCAUACCGGGGGGGUGAAGAAGGCCUUCGGGUUGUAAAGCCCUUUUUUUGGGAAAAAAAAGCAGCAGGUUAAUACCCCGCUGUUCUGACGGUACCCAAAGAAUAAGCACCGGCUAACUUCGU